GACGAACGCUGGCGGCGUGCUUAACACAUGCCAGUCGAACGAUGACGCCCGAGCUUGCUCGGUCUGAUUAGUGGCGAACGGGUGAGUAACACGUGAGCAACCUGCCCUUCACUCUGGGAUAACCUCGGGAAAUCGGGGCUAAUACCGGAUAUGAGCUCCUGUCGCAUGGCGGGUGUUGGAAAGUUUUUCGGUGAAGGAUGGGCUCGCGGCCUAUCAGUUUGUUGGUGAGGUAGUGGCUCACCAAGGCGAUGACGGGUAGCCGGCCUGAGAGGGCGACCGGCCACACUGGGACUGAGACACGGCCCAGACUCCUACGGGAGGCAGCAGUGGGGAAUAUUGCACAAUGGGCGAAAGCCUGAUGCAGCGACGCCGCGUGAGGGAUGACGGCCUUCGGGUUGUAAACCUCUUUCAGCAGGGAAGAAGCGAAAGUGACGGUACCUGCAGAAGAAGCGCCGGCUAACUACGUG
Molecule: ribosomal RNA, 467 nt
Filed under: uncultured bacterium
Lineage: Bacteria
Description: partial 16S ribosomal RNA
Rfam family: Bacterial small subunit ribosomal RNA
Source: RNAcentral